ACGAACGCUGGCGGCGUGCUUAACACAUGCAAGUCGAGCGGUAAGGCCCUUUCGGGGGUACGACGAGCGGCGAACGGGUGAGUAACACGUGGGUGACCUGCCUUUAGUCUCUGGGAUAAGCCUGGGAAACGUGGGUCUAAUACCGGAUAUGACCCUAUGGCGCAUGUUGUGGGGUGGAAAGCCUUGUGCGGCUAGGGGUGGGCCCGCGGCCUAUCAGCUUGUUGGUGGGGUGAUGGCCUACCAAGGCGACGACGGGUAGCCGGCCUGAGAGGGCGACCGGCCACACUGGGACUGAGACACGGCCCAGACUCCUACGGGAGGCAGCAGUGGGGAAUAUUGCGCAAUGGACGGAAGUCUGACGCAGCAACGCCGCGUGAGGGAUGACGGCCUUC
RNAcentral lists this ribosomal RNA (392 nucleotides) under uncultured bacterium. RNAcentral describes it as "bacterial SSU rRNA". It matches the Rfam family "Bacterial small subunit ribosomal RNA", at positions 29 to 419 of the family's 1533-position model. The record is from RNAcentral.